AACGAACGCUGGCGGCAUGCCUAACACAUGCAAGUCGAACGAGACCUUCGGGUCUAGUGGCGCACGGGUGCGUAACGCGUGGGAACCUGCCCUUAGGUUCGGAAUAACUCCCCGAAAGGGGUGCUAAUACCGGAUAAUGUCUUCGGACCAAAGAUUUAUCGCCAUUGGAUGGGCCCGCGUUGGAUUAGCUAGUUGGUAGGGUAAAAGCCUACCAAGGCGACGAUCCAUAGCUGGUCUGAGAGGAUGAUCAGCCACACUGGGACUGAGACACGGCCCAGACUCCUACGGGAGGCAGCAGUGGGGAAUAUUGGACAAUGGGCGAAAGCCUGAUCCAGCAUUGCCGCGUGAGUGAUGAAGGCCUUAGGGUUGUAAAGCUCUUUUACCCGGGAUGAUAAUGACAGUACCGGGAGAAUAAGCACCGGCUAACUCCGUG
This 433-nucleotide ribosomal RNA is filed under the name uncultured bacterium. RNAcentral describes it as "partial 16S ribosomal RNA". It matches the Rfam family "Bacterial small subunit ribosomal RNA", at positions 29 to 507 of the family's 1533-position model. The record is from RNAcentral.